CCGAAACAGGAUCGACGAACGUGUAAAGGCGUGGCUUUGUCCCGGUGAGGUACCACCGUUAUCGGUCCGUAAAGCAUAAUUGCCAACGACAAUCGUGCUCCGGUUGCAGUUGCCGCGUAAGCGGUAACAAGACCGAAACCUAAGCCCUUGCGC
Molecule: transfer-messenger RNA, 153 nt
Filed under: Paracoccaceae bacterium
Lineage: Bacteria; Pseudomonadati; Pseudomonadota; Alphaproteobacteria; Rhodobacterales; Paracoccaceae
Description: Rhodobacteraceae bacterium (aquatic metagenome) partial transfer-messenger RNA
Rfam family: Alphaproteobacteria transfer-messenger RNA
About the family: Bacterial tmRNA, also known as 10Sa RNA or SsrA, is named for its dual tRNA and mRNA-like properties.
Source: RNAcentral